RNAcentral lists this transfer RNA (74 nucleotides) under Anophthalmus pretneri. RNAcentral describes it as "transfer RNA-Leu". The record is from RNAcentral. Lineage: Eukaryota; Metazoa; Arthropoda; Insecta; Coleoptera; Carabidae. RNAcentral also lists the same sequence under 5 other names.
UAUUAAAUUAUUAUUUUGGCAGAUUAGUGUAAUGAAUUUAGAAUUCAUAUAAGUAAAUAUUUUACAAAUAAUAC